RNAcentral lists this unclassified non-coding RNA (200 nucleotides) under Pseudeurotium sp. Its description in RNAcentral is "partial internal transcribed spacer 2". Lineage: Eukaryota; Fungi; Ascomycota; Leotiomycetes; Thelebolales; Pseudeurotiaceae. The record is from RNAcentral.
UUAAGUUCAGCGGGUAUCCCUACCUGAUCCGAGGUCAACCUGAAAAAUUGGGGGUUGCUGGCAAGCACACACCCGGGCCUCCGAAGCGAGAAGAAUUACUACGCUUGGAGCCAGGUGGCACCGCCACUGAGUUUAAGGCCUGCCGGGACCGGCAGAGCCCAAUACCAAGCAGAGCUUGAGGGUUGUAAUGACGCUCGAAC